UCUUAUCAAGAGUGGUGGAGGGACUGGCCCGUCGAUACCCAGCAACCAAUAUGUUCAAUACACAUAUAAUGGUGCUAAAUCCUGCAGCUUUUCAUGCUGAUAGAUGAG
This 108-nucleotide non-coding RNA is filed under the name uncultured Clostridium sp. RNAcentral describes it as "SAM riboswitch (S box leader)". It matches the Rfam family "SAM riboswitch aptamer (S box leader)". From Rfam's summary of the family: The SAM riboswitch is found upstream of a number of genes which code for proteins involved in methionine or cysteine biosynthesis in Gram-positive bacteria. The SAM riboswitch acts at the level of transcription termination control. The record is from RNAcentral. Lineage: Bacteria; Bacillati; Bacillota; Clostridia; Eubacteriales; Clostridiaceae.